GCCUGGCUGGCUCAGUCCAUAGAGCAUGUGACUCUUGAUCUUGGGGCUGUGAGUUCAAGCCCCACGUUGGGCG
This 73-nucleotide transfer RNA is filed under the name Ailuropoda melanoleuca (giant panda). It matches the Rfam family "tRNA". From Rfam's summary of the family: Transfer RNA (tRNA) molecules are approximately 80 nucleotides in length. Their secondary structure includes four short double-helical elements and three loops (D, anti-codon, and T loops). Lineage: Eukaryota; Metazoa; Chordata; Mammalia; Carnivora; Ursidae. The record is from Rfam by way of RNAcentral.